AACGUAGGAGGCAAGCGUUAUCCGGAUUCACUGGGCGUAAAGCGCGUGCAGGUGGCGCGGUAAGUUGGGUGUGAAAUCUCCCGGCUCAACUGGGAGAGGUCAUUCAAUACUACCGUGCUUGAGAGCAGAAGAGGAAGAUGGAAUUCCCGGUGUAGUGGUGAAAUGCGUAGAUAUCGGGAGGAACACCAGUGGCGAAGGCGAUCUUCUGGUCUGUUUCUGACACUCAUACGCGACAGCUAGGGUAGUAAACGGGAUUAGAGACCCCGGUAAUCCUAGCCGUAAACGAUGUGAACUUGGCGUUGGUGGGUUAAACUCCAUCAGUGCCGCAGCAAACGCGAUAAGUUCACCGCCUGGGGACUACGGCCGCAAGGUUAAA
RNAcentral lists this ribosomal RNA (376 nucleotides) under uncultured bacterium. Its description in RNAcentral is "bacterial SSU rRNA". It matches the Rfam family "Bacterial small subunit ribosomal RNA", at positions 524 to 898 of the family's 1533-position model. The record is from RNAcentral.